GGUUGUAUAGUGUAGCGGUUAUCACCCCAGAUUCUGAUUCUCUCAAUGAUUCUGGUGACCCCGGUUCGAUUCCGGGUACGACCU
Non-coding RNA from Apodospora peruviana, 84 nucleotides. The record is from the annotation of a GenBank genome assembly. NCBI's taxonomy places the organism in Eukaryota, Fungi, Ascomycota, Sordariomycetes, Sordariales, Lasiosphaeriaceae.